ACUGGAUCGCUAUCUGCUACAACAACUG
RNAcentral lists this non-coding RNA (28 nucleotides) under Mus musculus (house mouse). Lineage: Eukaryota; Metazoa; Chordata; Mammalia; Rodentia; Muridae. The record is from RNAcentral.